UGUUUUUCGUUUAUUAAUUUUUUUAUUAUUUAGUUUUUUAAAGAGCUGUACAAACAGCAGAUGUGUUGAAGGAGAAAGGAUUUUGGAAUCAGAGACCAACUCUCAGUCCUGCCUCGGAGAUCUCCUUGCUGUGUGAACUUGGUCCUGCCUCUCUGCACCUUGGUUUCUUACCUUAUCUGAGGGAAGACCGUGUGAGGACACAGUGGGAAGACGGCCACCUGCAAGCCAAGGAGAGAGGCCUCAGAAGGAAGCGGCCAUGCAGACACCUUCAUCUUGGAAGUCCAGUCUCCAGACCUGUGAGAAAAACAGCUUCUGUUGUGUAAGCCCCCAGUCUGUGGUAUUUUGACAUGGCGGCCUAGCAGACUGAUAUAGAUAGCGUUUAGUGCCGCCUGUUAAGGAAUACCUACUGAGUGUCAGGGACUGAACGAAC
Molecule: long non-coding RNA, 430 nt
Filed under: Equus caballus (horse)
Lineage: Eukaryota; Metazoa; Chordata; Mammalia; Perissodactyla; Equidae
Description: lncRNA (ENSECAG00000043873.1)
Source: RNAcentral